AUUGAACGCUGGCGGCAUGCCUUACACAUGCAAGUCGAACGGCAGCACGGAGCUUGCUCUGGUGGCGAGUGGCGAACGGGUGAGUAAUAUAUCGGAACGUACCCUAGAGUGGGGGAUAACGUAGCGAAAGUUACGCUAAUACCGCAUACGAUCUAAGGAUGAAAGUGGGGGAUCGCAAGACCUCAUGCUCGUGGAGCGGCCGAUAUCUGAUUAGCUAGUUGGUAGGGUAAAAGCCUACCAAGGCAUCGAUCAGUAGCUGGUCUGAGAGGACGACCAGCCACACUGGAACUGAGACACGGUCCAGACUCCUACGGGAGGCAGCAGUGGGGAAUUUUGGACAAUGGGCGAAAGCCUGAUCCAGCAAUGCCGCGUGAGUGAAGAAGGCCUUCGGGUUGUAAAGCUCUUUUGUCAGGGAAGAAACGGUGAGAGCUAAUAUCUCUUGCUAAUGACGGUACCUGAAGAAUAAGCACCGGCUAACUACGUGCCAGCAGCCGCGGUAAUACGUAGGGUGCAAGCGUUAAUCGGAAUUACUGGGCGUAAAGCGUGCGCAGGCGGUUCUGUAAGUCUGAUGUGAAAUCCCCGGGCUCAACCUGGGAAUUGCAUUGGAGACUGCAAGGCUAGAAUCUGGCAGAGGGGGGUAGAAUUCCACGUGUAGCAGUGAAAUGCGUAGAUAUGUGGAGGAACACCGAUGGCGAAGGCAGCCCCCUGGGUCAAGAUUGACGCUCAUGCACGAAAGCGUGGGGAGCAAACAGGAUUAGAUACCCUGGUAGUCCACGCCCUAAACGAUGUCUACUAGUUGUCGGGUCUUAAUUGACUUGGUAACGCAGCUAACGCGUGAAGUAGACCGCCUGGGGAGUACGGUCGCAAGAUUAAAACUCAAAGGAAUUGACGGGGACCCGCACAAGCGGUGGAUGAUGUGGAUUAAUUCGAUGCAACGCGAAAAACCUUACCUACCCUUGACAUGGCUGGAAUCCCCGAGAGACUGGGGAGUGCUCGAAAGAGAACCAGUACACAGGUGCUGCAUGGCUGUCGUCAGCUCGUGUCGUGAGAUGUUGGGUUAAGUCCCGCAACGAGCGCAACCCUUGUCAUUAGUCGCUACGAAAGGGCACUCUAAUGAGACUGCCGGUGACAAACCGGAGGAAGGUGGGGAUGACGUCAAGUCCUCAUGGCCCUUAUGGGUAGGGCUUCACACGUCAUACAAUGGUACAUACAGAGCGCCGCCAACCCGCGAGGGGGAGCUAAUCGCAGAAAGUGUAUCGUAGUCCGGAUUGUAGUCUGCAACUCGACUGCAUGAAGUUGGAAUCGCUAGUAAUCGCGGAUCAGCAUGUCGCGGUGAAUACGUUCCCGGGUCU
This 1352-nucleotide ribosomal RNA is filed under the name uncultured bacterium. RNAcentral's name for it is "bacterial SSU rRNA". It matches the Rfam family "Bacterial small subunit ribosomal RNA", at positions 28 to 1381 of the family's 1533-position model. The record is from RNAcentral.